This 497-nucleotide ribosomal RNA is filed under the name uncultured bacterium. RNAcentral describes it as "partial 16S ribosomal RNA". It matches the Rfam family "Bacterial small subunit ribosomal RNA", at positions 28 to 507 of the family's 1533-position model. The record is from RNAcentral.
GAUGAACGCUGGCGGCGUGCCUAAUACAUGCAAGUCGAGCGAACAGACGAGGAGCUUGCUCCUCUGACGUUAGCGGCGGACGGGUGAGUAACACGUGGAUAACCUACCUAUAAGACUGGGAUAACUUCGGGAAACCGGAGCUAAUACCGGAUAAUAUAUUGAACCGCAUGGUUCAAUAGUGAAAGACGGUUUUGCUGUCACUUAUAGAUGGAUCCGCGCCGCAUUAGCUAGUUGGUAAGGUAACGGCUUACCAAGGCAACGAUGCGUAGCCGACCUGAGAGGAUGAUCGGCCACACUGGAACUGAGACACGGUCCAGACUCCUACGGGAGGCAGCAGUAGGGAAUCUUCCGCAAUGGGCGAAAGCCUGACGGAGCAACGCCGCGUGAGUGAUGAAGGUCUUCGGAUCGUAAAACUCUGUUAUUAGGGAAGAACAAAUGUGUAAGUAACUAUUCACGUCUUGACGGUACCUAAUCAGAAAGCCACGGCUAACUACGUG